GAUGAACGCUGGCGGCGUGCCUAAUACAUGCAAGUCGAGCGAACAGACGAGGAGCUUGCUCCUCUGACGUUAGCGGCGGCCGGGUGAGUAACACGUGGAUAACCUACCUAUAAGACUUGGAUAACUUCGGGAAACCGGAGCUAAUACCGGAUAAUAUAUUGAACCGCAUGGUUCAAUAGUGAAAGACGGUUUUGCUGUCACUUAUAGAUGGAUCCGCGCCGCAUUAGCUAGUUGGUAAGGUAACGGCUUACCAAGGCAACGAUGCGUAGCCGACCUGAGAGGGUGAUCGGCCACACUGGAACUGAGACACGGUCCAGAAUCCUACGGGAGGCAGCAGUAGGGAAGCUUACGCAAUGGGCGAAAGCCUGACGGAGCAACGCCGCGUGAGUGAUGAAGGUCUUCGGAUCGUAAAAAUCUGUUAUUAGGGAAGAACAAAUGUGUAAGUAACUAUGCACGUCUUGACGGUACCUAAUCAGAAAGCCACGGCUAACUACGUG
RNAcentral lists this ribosomal RNA (497 nucleotides) under uncultured bacterium. RNAcentral describes it as "partial 16S ribosomal RNA". It matches the Rfam family "Bacterial small subunit ribosomal RNA", at positions 28 to 507 of the family's 1533-position model. The record is from RNAcentral.